This 117-nucleotide ribosomal RNA is filed under the name Clostridioides difficile. Lineage: Bacteria; Bacillati; Bacillota; Clostridia; Peptostreptococcales; Peptostreptococcaceae. The record is from RNAcentral.
AGAUAGUCUUUCUGGNAGAGGAUACACCUGUUCCCAUUCCGAACACAGAAGUUAAGCUCUCUAGCGCUGAUGGUACUUGGUGGGAAACUGCCUGGGAGAGUAGGACGUAGCCACGUG